This 253-nucleotide ribosomal RNA is filed under the name uncultured bacterium. RNAcentral describes it as "partial 16S ribosomal RNA". It matches the Rfam family "Bacterial small subunit ribosomal RNA", at positions 524 to 776 of the family's 1533-position model. The record is from RNAcentral.
UACGGGGGGGGUAAGCGUUGUUCGGAAUUACUGGGCGUAAAGGGCUCGUAGGCGGCCAACUAAGUCAUACGUGAAAUCCCUCAGCUUAACUGGGGAACUGCGUGUGAUACUGGAUGGCUUGGAUUUGGGAGAGGGAUGCGGAAUUCCAGGUGUAGCGGUGAAAUGCGUAGAUAUCGGGAGGAACACCUGUGGCGAAGGCGGCUUUCUGGGCCCUACCUGACGCUGAGACGCGAAAGCGUGGGGAGCGAACCGG